AGUGAUAUAGCUUAACUGGUAAAGCGUCAAUCUGAUAAGUUGGCAGAUGAAAGUUCAAAUCUUUCUAUCACUAC
Molecule: transfer RNA, 74 nt
Filed under: Kordia sp. SMS9
Lineage: Bacteria; Pseudomonadati; Bacteroidota; Flavobacteriia; Flavobacteriales; Flavobacteriaceae
Description: tRNA-Ile
Rfam family: tRNA
About the family: Transfer RNA (tRNA) molecules are approximately 80 nucleotides in length. Their secondary structure includes four short double-helical elements and three loops (D, anti-codon, and T loops).
Source: RNAcentral